AUUACAAACGCAGUAACCAUCAGAACACUUAACAACUGAUGCUCCACAAGGAAGAGCACGAAUGUUCUUAAGACAGUCUUGCUUUGUUUGACAUGCAACCACAACUAUAUCACUUCCCUCUGUGUUUUCUUCCAUCGAAAAUGAAUGCCCUACAAAACAUACAAUUUCGUGUUUAUAAAACAUUUUUUAUCAAUAAUAAAUAAAUAAAAUAAAUGAGACACUUCACGGAUGUUCCAACUCUUAUAUAAAAAAACACAUAUCAAACUUCUUAACACCCAAGUAAGUGAAGAUUCAUCAUACUCUACAAAACAUCAACAAAAGUGAUAUAUACAUGACAAGACUGAUAUAAGGCAUGAUCAGAUCAUAUCAGAAUACAAUUACGUCAUCCCUCCAAAGAAGACACGUUCUCACAAUAAGACAGAACAAAUACCACCAUAUACCAUUCUCCAACAACUGAAUAUAAUUUUUUGCGAGGGAGAAAAAUAAAUCAAACACCCAAAAGCCAUAAAUAUAAAAAAAAUCUGCAACAAUGCAACAAAAAUUAAGUUUCAUUGAUGAAGGGAUAAAUCAAUAUACCAACACAAACUUCCAUGGCAAGAAUUACAAACACAACUGCCAAUACUAAACUCUUCUUCGACAUAGCUUCUCCAACCUACAAUCUCAAUAUAUGAUGAUAAAAUUCAAAAUUGAGAACUUUGUAUGAAUGAUAAUUGUGUGCUUCUUAGACUCAAACUUUGUUCUAUUUAUACAAGAGGAAAAGAUGAUUUUAAUAUUAUAAAAUCUUAAUUUACUUUUUUUUAAAAAUAUUAUUACACUACACAUUUUUAAGACUUUUAAACUUUUAGUUUUAUAUAUAAUAUAUAUAAUACAAAUACAGUAAAAAUUCAAUAAUGUUUUAUUAAUAAUACACAUUAACGUAGAUAUCAAUAAUUUUUUAGUUUACAAAAUAGUAUUUAAAUUAAUUAAUAUAAUAAUUAAUUAUUUUUAUUUUUAAAAUUAAUUUUAAAAGUUGUUUUAAAAUAAAUUCUUUUUUAGUUUUUAUGACCAUAAUCUUAAUUAAAAUUCAUAAUAUUUAUUGUUAUAUUAAGUUAACGUACUCUAACAAGGAAAUUUUAUAAAACUCAAAUCUUCAAUUUAUAAUUUUAUAUACAAUAUAUAGAAUACAAAUGUCAUAAACACUCCAAUUUUUUCCCUACAUUUAAUUAGAACUACUGUAUUAUUUAAUAUAGUUUAAUAUUAUGUUAUUAAAUAUUAAAUUUGUAAUCAAUGCCCUUUUUCCACUCUCCUAAAUUUCUUUUUCUUGUUAUUUCUUCAUGUUUUAUCUACCUCAUAAUCACAUCCUAUAUUAAUUAGAGAUUAUUUCUCUCAAAUCAUAUUUUCAAAAAAGUAAGUUCAUGUUUACUUUAAAUAAUUAUUUAGAAAUUGUGUUAUUGAAAUUUUUUAAAAUAUUUAAUAACACAUUUGAUUAUGCUAGAGAUUUUAUGAUAUAAUAAUUUUUUACUUUAUAAUUAAAAAAUAGUGAAUUUUUAGAAAAUAACUUUUUAUUAUAUAUAAUUAAAAAAAUGAAUACAUUAAAAUUAUUUUAAAUUUUUAAUAAAAUUAAUGAUGUAAUACUUUAAUAAUAUAAGUUAAUAUUUUAAAAUAGUCAACUUAUAUUAUUUUAAAUUAUUAAAGUAUUAUAUAUAAUAACUUAAAAUAAUUAACUUAAAAUAGUUAAGUGAACAUAAUUAACUUAUAUAAAGGAGAAAUUAGAUAUUCAAAUUUAAAUUACAUUAAAAGGAAUAAACAAUGAUAAAGAAGUUUAUUUUUUACACUUAAAUAUAUUAUAUUAAUAUUGUUGGGUAUGAAGUCAAAACCAAUUGGGUUGGGCUGAAACAGUUGAAGCGUAGGUGAACAUUAUUCCGUGACUUCAAGUGGAGAUUGUUGGGUAUGAAGUCAUGACCAAUUGGGUUGGGUUGAGCAGACACCAUGUUUUAGUGAGUGGGUUUAAUCAUUAUGUCCCUUUAUUAUCUCUAUUUAUCUAUAUUUAAAGAGAUAAUUGUACUUGUAAUUGGUACGCAACAGGAAAGAAAUGGAUGUAGGUUGCAGUUGGCGAUCGAACCACGUUAAAUCUUGUGUCGUUUAUUUUUCUGCGGUUGAUUGGUGGUUGUGUAUUGCUUUUCGCGUGCGUUUUUUCCCAUCAAAUAUAAAAAUUAAACAAAAAUAUAAAAAUUUUGGCGUCAUUUCGAGUGUGUUCAAAUUGUAAUUAUUCGGAUUUCAAAAGUUUUAUGGUAAAUGCCAAUGGUAUUGUAAAUUAAUAUCAAGUUAUUUCUAACUAAUUCUACUUAUUUGGUAUAUAACAUUUCAUCCCAUUAACUUAAUUUCACUCUUAUUGAUGUUCAAAACAUCAUUAUCAAUCCAAGAAACAUCAAUUAGUUCUUACAUAAUUAUCCUCUUUUGUAAAAAGCGAUGCAAAUAUUAAAAAUAUGGUGCAAAUGGUAGGAGCGGGGUGAAAAUAUUAAUAGUAUGACUGUUUCUUCCUACACCUCCAUACGUUUUUGUGUCACCCCAUAAAUUUUUGUAUUAAAAAAAUAUCUUUUUUUUUAAUAUUCUGGAUUACAUAAUCCACAAGUAUUUUUUUUAUAUUUGUAAUUAGUUUCUGGAUUAUGUAAUUUGGAAGUCUUUUGAGAUUACUUUCUAGAUUACAUAAUCCAUAAGUCUUUUCUAUACAUGAGAUUAUCUUCUGCAUUACAUAACUUAGAAGUCUUUUGUAGAUUUCAGAUUUUCUAGAUUUGAUAUUGGCUUUUGGAUUACGUAAUCCAAAAAUCUUUUUUCAAAUGUGUGAUUAGUUUUAGUAUGUCUGAUAAGUAUGUCUUCAUUAUCAUGCAUAUUAAUUUUAGUCAAAGUUGUUUCCAAGUCUUUAAUGACUUCCAUAUAAUUAGUAUACAAAAGCUAUAUCCAUUAUUUAUCACAUGAUAUAUUUAUUUUUAUUUACCUAACUCAAAGUACUAUUACAACUUCAAUAUCUUACCAAAUUACUAAUUAAUACUUACAAUUUUCAUUAAAAAAGUUCAAUGCUAAUUUUACUUUAUUUUAUUUGAUAAUCUUUAAUUAAAAAAUUAUAUAUAAUUAUUCCUUUAUUUGAUUACUGAAUAGCAAAAAUGUUCAUAUUAAAAAGGGAAAUAGAGAUACUUAUGUUGUAUUAAUCACUUUUAUAUAUUUCAACAUGAACAAUGUAUUUGUUCAUUGUUUCGGAAUAUUAUUAUUCUAUGACAGAGCUUGAAGCAUAGAACCAUAAAAUACAUUUAUUAAAAAGUUUAAAUAAGUAGAAUCAUUCACUCCUCUUAUAAGCUUAUAGAUUCCCUUCAAGACAAAUUACCUGCAAAAUUAAAUAAUUUGAAAGUUAAUGAAAAUAAAAAAUAAAGGGUUUAAUGAGGAAGAGAUAAGUGAGUAAUUAAUAAAUAAUGAAAAUGAAAAUACCUUUGUUUUGAUCUAAUGAUUACAAACACAGUAACCAUCAGAACACUUAACAACUGAUGCUCCACAAGGAAGAGCACGAAUGUUUUUAAGACAGUCUUGCUUUGUUUGACAUGCAACCACAACUAUAUCACUUCCCUCUGUGUUUUCUUCCAUCGAAAAUGAAUUCCCUACAAAACAUACAAUUUCGUGUUUCUAAAACGUUUUUUUUAUCAAUAAUAAAUAAAUAAAAUAAAUGAGACACUUCACGAAUGUUCCAACUCUUAUACAAAAAAAACUCAUACCAAACUUCUUAGCACCCAACUAAGUGAAGAUUCAUCAUACUCUAUAAAACAUCAACAAAAGUGAUAUAGACAUGACAAGAUUGAUAUAAGGCAUGAUGAGAUCAUAUCAGAAUACAAUUACGUUAUCCCUCCAAAGAAGUCACGUUCUCACAAUAAGACAGAAUAAAUAUCACCCUAUACCAUUCUCCAACAACUGAAUAGAAUUUUUUCGAACGAGAAAAAUAAAUCAAACACCCAAAAGCCAUAAAUAUCAAUCAAAAUCUGUAAUAAUGCAACAAAAGUUAACUUUCAUUG
Molecule: long non-coding RNA, 4034 nt
Filed under: Phaseolus vulgaris (common bean)
Lineage: Eukaryota; Viridiplantae; Streptophyta; Magnoliopsida; Fabales; Fabaceae
Description: long non-coding RNA (PVUL_LNC003753)
Source: RNAcentral